AUGCAGUUCUGUAUCAGCAUUAUUUUGGUCUCUCAUACUAAAGAGGUAAAUGAAUUAUCUCUGUUUCAGCAGCAAUCAGCCCGAGCAAAGCCUGUGGCUGCACCCUCACAAGCCCCUCGUGUCGCAAUUAGCCCUGCUAGCUCUCUUCUCAUAAAUGCUGCUCAACGUGUGAGGGACCCGCGUCUGAGGAAGUUAAAGGAUAGCAAAUCGGGAGGAACGUCUCCUCCGGUUUCGUCCCCUGUAUCCUCACCUGCACGCGUGACUGCUGAAAGCAACUGCGCUAUCAACAAUGGUGCCCCCUCCAGUCCAAGGAAAGGGACAGUGGACGCCGGGAAGGAAGAAGCCGAGGCACUGAAACCUGAGAAAAGUACCGAACGAAGCAAAGAUAAGGAAAAGCGUAGGAAAUCGAAAAAGUCUAGUAAAACUGAUACACAUCCUUCUAGUCCUAAAGGAAGUCCAAAAACAGAUAAACUUGAGUCAGAAGAAAGUGCCAGUACAGAUCUCAAGAAGAGUUGCUCGGAUGAGCUCAUACAAAAAGCUAUGAGCAGUCCUGUGGUGGCCCCCGCACUCCUGAAGACCGAGAUGAUAUUAAAACCUCCUCAAGAUGUCGAUUUGCGAGUGCUACCUACCUCACCCAAGAAAAGAGUGUCCGACAACAAAAGUGAAGAGCCACCUACAAAGAAAAACAAAGCUGAAAUGUACAACAUGUUAUUUGGAAAUGAGGACGUGGAUCUCCGCCAGGAUGUCGAUUUAAGGCUUCCUGUAACAGGAGUCCCUCUACUUGUCUCUUCUAUAUCUACUCCUACGCAGCACUUAGCUACAGCAGCAGUGUUUGAUAGUUCAAUGACCAUGUCAACAGCUUCUUCUCCCAAGGCUGCUGCUCCUGUCACUAUUGCUCAGCGUCCAGAAACAUCCAAAACUAGUAAACCGUCAUCCAGCAGUACCUCAUCUCCAAAGCGAGAAUCUGCAAAAGAAUCUUCCCGUCCUAGCAGUUCUAAAUCAAAAGCAGAAUCCAAAAAGUCCUCUGAAAAAUCUGCUUCAUUAGGAGAGCUAAAAAGUCACCAUCUCCUCCUCUAUCUAAGACGCCCUCUCCUCCUCCUCCACCCAUAA
Molecule: long non-coding RNA, 1110 nt
Filed under: Bemisia tabaci
Lineage: Eukaryota; Metazoa; Arthropoda; Insecta; Hemiptera; Aleyrodidae
Description: lncRNA ENSSSA3NGG003447
Source: RNAcentral